Molecule: ribosomal RNA, 439 nt
Filed under: Aorangia sp. CG197
Lineage: Eukaryota; Metazoa; Arthropoda; Arachnida; Araneae; Amphinectidae
Description: partial 16S ribosomal RNA
Source: RNAcentral
UUCUAAUAGAUUUAAUUAUUAGUAAAAUCUGCUCAAUGAAACUUAAAUAGCCGCAAUUACUCUGUGCUAAGGUAGCAUAAUCAUUUGCCUUUUAAUUAAAGGCUAGAACGAAAGAUUUAACAUUUAAAUUUCUAUUAAAUAAUAUUAUUUAAAUUUAUUUUAAGUAUAAAAAAAUACUUAUUCAUAAAAAAGACGAUAAGACCCUAUUGAACUUUACUAAUGUUUAACUGGGGAAGUUAAUUAAAUAUAAUUUUAAUUAAAUAUUAAAAAUUAAUAAUCCGGAAAAUCCGAUUUAUAAUCAAGUUACCAUAGGGAUAACAGCGUAAUAAUUUUUCAAAGAUCUUAUUUAAAAAAUAGAUUACGACCUCGAUGUUGAAUAAUUACUCUAUUAAAUGCAACCAUUUAAAAAGAAAGUCUGUUCGACUUUUAAUAAAUUACA